AGAAUCAACGCUGGCGGCGUGCCUAACACAUGCAAGUCGCACGAGAAAGGGACUUCGGUCCUGAGUACAGUGGCGCACGGGUGAGUAACACGUGAAUCAUCUACCUUCGAGUGGGGAAUAACCUAGAGAAAUCUGGGCUAAUACCGCAUAACACUUACGAGUCAAAGCAGCAAUGCGCUUGAAGAGGAGUUCGCGGCAGAUUAGUUAGUUGGCAGGGUAAUGGCCUACCAAGACGAUGAUCUGUA
RNAcentral lists this ribosomal RNA (245 nucleotides) under uncultured bacterium. RNAcentral's name for it is "partial small subunit ribosomal RNA". It matches the Rfam family "Bacterial small subunit ribosomal RNA", at positions 26 to 285 of the family's 1533-position model. The record is from RNAcentral.